This 404-nucleotide ribosomal RNA is filed under the name uncultured bacterium. Its description in RNAcentral is "partial 16S ribosomal RNA". It matches the Rfam family "Bacterial small subunit ribosomal RNA", at positions 28 to 526 of the family's 1533-position model. The record is from RNAcentral.
GAUGAACGCUGACAGAAUGCUUAACACAUGCAAGUCAACUGUGGCGGACGGGUGAGUAACGCGUAAAGAACUUGCCUCACAGUUAGGGACAACAUUUGGAAACGAAUGCUAAUACCUUAUACUGUGAGAGAGCUUUGCGUCCCAUUAGCUAGUUGGAGAGGUAAAGGCUCACCAAGGCGAGGAGGGGUAGCCGGCCUGAGAGGGUGAUCGGCCACAAGGGGACUGGGGCGCGGGCCUUAGGCCAACUGGCGUCAGUAGGGGGGGAUAUUGGACGAUAGACCAAAGUCUGAUCAAGCAAUUCUGUUUGCAAGAUGAAGUUUUCGGAAUGUAAAGUGCUUUCAGUUUGAAAGCGGUACCAACAGAAGAAGUGACGGCUAAAUACGUGCCAGCAGCCGCGGUAAUAC